AGAGUUUGAUCAUGGCUCAGAACGAACGCUGGCGGCGCGCCUAAUACAUGCAAGUCGAGCGAGAAGGUGUAGCAAUACACUUGUAAAGCGGCGAACGGGUGAGGAAUGCAUGGGUAAUCUACCAUCGAGUGGGGAAUAACCAGCCGAAAGGCUGGCUAAUACCGCGUACGCUUCCGGGUUUUCGGGUCCGGAAGGAAAGCCAUGCCGUGGGUAUGGCGCUCUUUGAUGAGCUCAUGUCCUAUCAGCUUGUUGGUAGGGUAACGGCCUACCAAGGCUUUGACGGGUAGCUGGUCUGAGAGGACGAUCAGCCACACUGGCACUGCGACACGGGCCAGACUCCUACGGGAGGCAGCAGUAAGGAAUAUUGCGCAAUGGGCGACAGCCUGACGCAGCGACGCCGCGUGGGGAUGAAGGUCUUCGGAUUGUAAACCCCUUUCGGGAGGGAAGAUGGGGCAGGUAACUGCUCGGACGGUACCUCCAGAAGCAGCCACGGCCAACUUCGUGCCAGCAGCCGCGGUAAUACGAAGGUGGCAAGCGUUGUUCGGAUUCACUGGGCGUACAGGGUGUGUAGGCGGUUUGGUAAGCCUUCUGUUAAAUCUUCGGGCCCAACCCGGAAAGCGCAGAGGGGACUGCCAGGCUAGAGGGCGGGAGAGGAGCGCGGAAUUCCCGGUGUAGCGGUGAAAUGCGUAGAGAUCGGGAGGAAGGCCGGUGGCGAAGGCGGCGCUCUGGAACGUACCUGACGCUGAGACACGAAAGCGUGGGGAGCAAACAGGAUUAGAUACCCUGGUAGUCCACGCCCUAAACUAUGGAUACUAAGUGUCGGCGGGUUACCGCCGGUGCCGCAGCUAACGCAUUAAGUAUCCCGCCUGGGAAGUACGGCCGCAAGGUUGAAACUCAAAUGAAUGACGG
RNAcentral lists this ribosomal RNA (909 nucleotides) under uncultured bacterium. RNAcentral's name for it is "bacterial SSU rRNA". It matches the Rfam family "Bacterial small subunit ribosomal RNA", at positions 8 to 916 of the family's 1533-position model. The record is from RNAcentral.